Molecule: long non-coding RNA, 428 nt
Filed under: Androctonus crassicauda
Lineage: Eukaryota; Metazoa; Arthropoda; Arachnida; Scorpiones; Buthidae
Source: RNAcentral
CGCCGAAAAUGCUUUGGAUAGUAAUUUGCUUAUCCAUUCUGUAAUUGAAGGAGUAAUAGAUUGAGAAUAAAUGAACAACUAUCGGUGUUACCUACAUUCGAACAAUGGAACAUUUUUCUCGUUUGAAUGUCAUCGGACGCGACUCUCUCGCUUAUGCGGAAACCGAAAUUGUACCGCACCGCCCAAACGCGGCGUGGUCACGUAUGCAAACAGAAAAAGUUGUCUGAAAUCUCAAAGCGCAAACAUGCGCUUAUGCUUUUUUGUACUAUGCAUAGCCAAUGAGACAAACUUUCACGUAUUACAAACGGUAUUGCGAUAUAAUGCAAUAUAUUAAACGUUUGAAUGCCCUAUUUAUCCUAGAACUUAAACAUUGUCUACGGAUAAAUUUAAUAAAUAUUUCUUUUUAAACAAAAUGUUAUAAAAAACCC